Molecule: ribosomal RNA, 459 nt
Filed under: uncultured bacterium
Lineage: Bacteria
Description: SSU rRNA
Rfam family: Bacterial small subunit ribosomal RNA
Source: RNAcentral
AGAAUCAACGCUGGCGGCGUGCCUAACACAUGCAAGUCGAACGAGAAAGUGGAGCAAUCCAUGAGUAAAGUGGCGACCGGGUGAGUAACACGUGACUAACCUACCUUCGAGUGGGGGAUAACCUCGGGAAACCGGGGCUAAUACCGCAUAAUGCCUUCGGGUUAAAGGAGCAAUUCGCUUGAAGAGGGGGUCGCGGCUGAUUAGCUAGUUGGCGGGGUAACGGCCCACCAAGGCGAUGAUCGGUAGCCGGCCUGAGAGGGCGCACGGCCACACUGGAACUGAAACACGGUCCAGACUCCUACGGGAGGCAGCAGUGGGGAAUUUGCGCAAUGGGGGAAACCCUGACGCAGCAACGCCGCGUGGAGGAUGAAGUCCCUUGGGACGUAAACUCCUUUCGACCGGGACGAUAAUGACGGUACCGGAAGAAGAAGCCCCGGCUAACUUCGCGCCAGCAGCCGC